GAGGCAGCAGUAGGGAAUAUUGGUCAAUGGAUGCAAGUCUGAACCAGCCAUGCCGCGUGCAGGAAGAAGGCCUUCUGGGUUGUAAACUGCUUUUGCCGGGGGAUAAAAUUCCCAUGCGUGGGACAUUGAAGGUACCCGGUGAAUAAGCCACGGCUAACUACGUGCCAGCAGCCGCGGUAAUACGUAGGUGGCAAGCGUUGUCCGGAUUUAUUGGGUUUAAAGGGUGCGUAGGCGGCCUAUUAAGUCAGUUCUGAAAUAUCCCGGCUUAACCGGGAGGGUGGGAUUGAUACUGAUGGGCUUGAGUGGAGUCGAGGUAGGCGGAAUUGACGGUGUAGCGGUGAAAUGCUUAGAUAUCGUCAAGAACACCGAUAGUGUAGACAGCUUACUAGACUUCAACUGACGCUGAGGCACGAAAGUGUGGGGAUCAAACAGGAUUAGAUACCCUGGUAGUCCACACUGUAAACGUUGAUUACUCGCUGUGUGCGAUAUACAGUACGCGGCUUAGCGAAAGCGAUAAGUAAUCCACCUGGGGAGUACGCCGGCAACGGUGAAACUCAAAGGAAUUG
RNAcentral lists this ribosomal RNA (566 nucleotides) under uncultured Bacteroidota bacterium. RNAcentral's name for it is "bacterial SSU rRNA". It matches the Rfam family "Bacterial small subunit ribosomal RNA", at positions 345 to 912 of the family's 1533-position model. The record is from RNAcentral. Lineage: Bacteria; Pseudomonadati; Bacteroidota.